UACGUAGGGUGCGAGCGUUGUCCGGAAUUACUGGGCGUAAAGCGUGCGUAGACGGUCAUGUAAGUCGGGUGUGAAAGCCCCGGGCUCAACCUGGGAAUUGCAUUCGAGACUGCAUGGCUAGGAUGCGGAAGAGGGAAGCGGAAUUUCCGGUGUAGCGGUGAAAUGCGUAGAUAUCGGAAGGAACACCAGUGGCGAAAGCGGCUUCCUGGUCCAGCAUCGACGUUCAGGCACGAAAGCGUGGGGAGCAAACAGG
Molecule: ribosomal RNA, 253 nt
Filed under: uncultured bacterium
Lineage: Bacteria
Description: partial 16S ribosomal RNA
Rfam family: Bacterial small subunit ribosomal RNA
Source: RNAcentral